RNAcentral lists this ribosomal RNA (440 nucleotides) under uncultured bacterium. RNAcentral's name for it is "partial 16S ribosomal RNA". It matches the Rfam family "Bacterial small subunit ribosomal RNA", at positions 338 to 795 of the family's 1533-position model. The record is from RNAcentral.
CCUACGGGUGGCAGCAGUGGGGAAUAUUGCACAAUGGGGGAAACCCUGAUGCAGCGACGCCGCGCGAAGGAAGAAGGAUUUCGGUAUGUAAACUUCUAUCAGCAGGGAAGAAGAUGACCGUAACCUGCAGAGAAGCCCCCGCCAACUACGUGCCAGCAGCCGCGGGAAUACGUAGGGGGCAAGCGUUAUUCGGAUUUACCGGGGGUAAAGGGAGCGUAGGCGGUUUAGCAAGUCAGAAGUGAAAGUCUGAGGCUUAACCCGGAGAAUGCCUUUGAAACUGUUGAACUAGAUUGCAGGAGAGGUAAGUGGAAUUCCUAGUGUAGCGGUGAAAUGCGUAGAGAUUAGGAGGAACACCAGUGGCGAAGGCGGCUUACUGGACUGUAAAUGACGCUGAGGCUCGAGAGCGUGGGGAGCAAACAGGAUUAGAUACCCUUGUAGUC